GCCGGAGUGGUGGAACUGGUAGACACGCCAUCUUGAGGGGGUGGUGGGUGUAUUCCCGUAGGGGUUCGAGUCCCCUCUUCGGCACCA
This 87-nucleotide transfer RNA is filed under the name Nitrospinae bacterium RIFCSPLOWO2_12_FULL_45_22. RNAcentral describes it as "tRNA-Leu". It matches the Rfam family "tRNA". From Rfam's summary of the family: Transfer RNA (tRNA) molecules are approximately 80 nucleotides in length. Their secondary structure includes four short double-helical elements and three loops (D, anti-codon, and T loops). Further hydrogen bonds mediate the characteristic L-shaped molecular structure. tRNAs have two regions of fundamental functional importance: the anti-codon, which is responsible for specific mRNA codon recognition, and the 3' end, to which the tRNAs corresponding amino acid is attached (by aminoacyl-tRNA synthetases). tRNAs cope with the degeneracy of the genetic code in two manners: having more than one tRNA (with a specific anti-codon) for a particular amino acid; and 'wobble' base-pairing, i.e. permitting non-standard base-pairing at the 3rd anti-codon position. Lineage: Bacteria; Pseudomonadati; Nitrospinota. The record is from RNAcentral.